AGCAUUCAAUUUUUUUCCCCAACUCUGAUUUCCGUUGACGGCAUCCGCAUCCUCACCAUUAGAAUCCCCACUGCCUGAAGCAAUAACCUCAUCUGCCACACCCUCAAAUUCCUCUCCGGGCACCACCCUUGCUCUCUUAGUCUCCGGAUAAUCAUCCAAUCCCGCUUCCGAAACCCUAACCUCGGUCGUUCUAUCAGCUAUUCUCACCCCUUCAGCGAACUCCCUAGGGUUUUGGUCCUCAGAGGAGGAGAGAUGAGAAUGGGUGUGAUGCUCCGGCGGGGUGUGGAACACUGCGUCUUCUUCCGGCAUAAGUUGAUCGGCCGUGUUCGCGCUUCCGGGCGCCGAAACCAUGACGAUUUGCUCGGGCGUUUCCUCCGGCGACGGCGAAAACUGGUCGGGGUUCGACUCCAUAAUAGUGUCGGAUUCCCGCGCAAACGGGCAGUUGGGGAAUUUCUCAUUCUGCGAAUCGAUUGGCUCGCAGAGUUUAAUUAGCGACUGAAAGGGAUCUUGUUGGAUCUCUGCUGCGUCCAUAUCAAUGGUCAAUUGUGACUGUGUGAGUGCGCAUUUGAGCUGAGAGAGGUUAGGGUUGUAUUGUAUUGCCAAAAAUUUGGGGCCUUUUUGCUUUACCAGAGAUUCCCGCCUCCGUAUUUGCCUUCUUUUUCGCUACUCUGCUCCUCUUAUCUAUUUUUCAAGGAAUAUCAAUUAGGAGUAUUCAAUAUUUAAGCAUAUUUUUUAAAAAUAUUUACAACAUUUCUUUUACUAGAACUUUACAUUAUGUUAUCAUUAAAAUACUUUAUAAAAUUUUAUUUUUCUCGAAAAAUCAACUGAAACUGCCGAUAAUGGAGGCGAACAAGGUCAAAGGCACGGUGGGAAAAGGAUUAAUCAUGACAUCUAUUUUUCGACACCAAAAAGUUUGAUUCAAGACAUUUUUGUGAAAAUAUUAAAUAAUUACUAUUAAUAUCUUUUUUAGAAUAAAAUUUCUAUUAAUAUCUAAUUAGAAUAUAUAAUCAUUUGUUUAUCAUUUAUCUUUUUAUUAAUUAUUAAUUCAUUAUUAGAGUUGAUUAGUUCAAAGUUAAUUUUUAAAAUAAAAUUUUAAUAUAAUUUAUAAUAUUAUAAUAAAAUUUAUUUUUUAAAAAGAUAUUAAUAAAACAAUAAAUAUAAUAAUAAAAUAUAACGAGGAACAACACACAAAUUAUGAGACGUCGGUGUUCAAAAUUGUUGAAUAUGUGAGAGAAACUUCAAUAUAUUAAUUUAAAGCCGAUCCAAUUUGUUUAUAGUGUCACAAAAACUAGCAAGGAAUUGUUUAACCCUGAAAAAAGGAUUUUUUUGUUGUUGCAUGACUAUCUUUUGAGAAAUUUGCUUCUUAGUUCUUAUGAUCAUAUAGUUUCUUAGGAGAAACGCUUAGCUAUUUUCUUUGAUUAUGAAAAUUAUUCAUUUUAGAUCGAAUAUAAAAAUCAUUUCAUUUUUAUCAAGACUAAGGCGAGAAGAAAGAGGGAGGGGAUUGAGCCACGUGUCUUCUGUUAUACAGCAAAUGGUCCUUUUCAUCUUUGACUUGCUAUUGCUCCAUCUUGCAAAUUAUUUGCCUUAAUCGCUAUUUAAUUUAGACAAAAAGCAUUGCUAAUAACAAACAAAAUUUCUACAAAAUCAGAAACCCUAGGUUUUGGGAUGACAUAUAACCCUAAAAAAAAAAAAAAAGAGUAGUGCUAUUGGUAUAAAUUUUAUCUAGAUAAAAUGUGGUUAAAUAAUAAAUUCAUUUAAAAAUUUUGGUUCAAAAUAAAAAAGAUUUUAGUUAAUUCAUUAUUUUCUCCACAUUGUAGUUUUUUUUUUGUANAAUCAUCAUUUCACCGAUUCCACCCACUUUCCCCCCCCUUCGCACUCUCAUAUGUUGCUGUCCGAAUUUGGGGGCGACCAUUGGUUAUGCCGAAGAAGGAUAAUUUUGUCUGAGAAGAAUCAUAGUAUCUGGAACACUGUUCACAGCCGGCUCAGAGACAAGCUAUCCAAGGAUACAAACAUCGUAUUAGUCUACAUAACUUUCCUAUCGACACCUAAAUGCAAAAGAGGAAUUGUUUCACCAAGCAUUGAUGGAUUAAAUAAUCUAACCAGUUUGUACCAACCGCCAAACAGGAAAAAACAGAAUUUCAAACUUUACACUGACUUUGUGCACAUUGAAAGCCGACUCCCCAUGCAUUUACAACAACAUACAAAACAAAAAGUGAAGAAAUGAGGAUCAAAACUUGUUCACCACCAAAUUGUGAAAGCCACAUUUUUAAAAGUCCUCACCAGGAGGAGGCCACCAUCUUGGCCUCGGAAACUUGAUACCCUUCCUCUCAGCAGUCUCUAUAAAGUCUGCUUUCCCAUCCUCAAAGCCAAAAACAGUACUGAGCCUAUUCACCAACUCCACCCAUCCUUGAUCACUCUUCUUAGGCGAACCUUCCACAACGUCCGAUGGUGGCAAUGGACUUGCCCUUCUCUCCUCACUACUCUUCUCAUCCACAACGUCCUCGUCUUUCCCUACCAUCGAUGCUGGCAAUUGACGCUCUCUUCUCCCGUCACCUCCCUCAGCGCUAUACCUGAACUCCUCAAUUCUUUUAGCACUGUGUUUGAGCUUCGCGACAUCCCUCUCAAUUUCAACACUCGAAUCACUCUUGUCGCAUCUAGCCACCUCCAUGCCCGUGGCAUAUUCAAUUUUCUCCCCAAACCCAUCAAUGGCAACACCGUCUUUCAUCAAGCCACCUAAUGAACCUUCAGCCAUUUUAGAAUCCCUACUGCCUAAAGCAAUAACCUCAUCUCCCUCAGUCUCAUCCAACUCUGUUUCCCCUAACGGAACUGUUUCCUCCAUAGGAACUGUUUCAUCAUCACAUUCCCUCUCAAUUUUACAACUGUCCAAACUCCGGCUUGAAUCAGUCACCCCAAUGCCCUUGGAGCAUUCAAUUUUUUUCCCCAACUCGUGAUUUCCGUUGACGGCAUCCGCAUCCUCACCAUUAGAAUCCCCACUGCCUGAAGCAAUAACCUCAUCUGCCACACCCUCAAAUUCCUCUCCGGCCACCACCCUUGCUCUCUUAGUCUCCGGAUAAUCAUCCAAUCCCGCUUCCAAAACCCUAACCUCGGUCGUUCUAUCAGCUAUUCUCACCCCUUCAGCGAACUCCCUAGGGUUUUGGUCCUCAGAGGAGGAGAGAUGAGAGUGGGUGUGAUGCUCCGGCGGGGUGUGGAACACUGCGUCUUCUUCCGGCAUAAGUUGAUCGGCCGUGUUCGCGCUUCCGGGCGCCGAAACCAUGACGAUUUGCUCGGGCGUUUCCUCCGGCGACGGCGAAAACUGUCGGGGUUCGACUCCAUAAUAGUGUCGGAUUCCCGCGCAAACGGGCAUUGGGGGAAUUUCUCAUUCUGCGAAUCGAUUGGCUCGCAGAGUUUAAUUAGCGACUGAAAGGGAUCUUGUUGGAUCUCUGCUGCGUCCAUAUCAAUGGUCAAUUGUGACUGUGUGAGUGCGCAUUUGAGCUGAGAGAGGUUAGGGUUGUAUUGUAUUGCCAAAAAUUUGGGGCCUUUUUGCUUUACCAGAGAUUCCCGCCUCCGUAUUUG
RNAcentral lists this long non-coding RNA (3573 nucleotides) under Salvia miltiorrhiza (redroot sage). RNAcentral's name for it is "long non-coding RNA (SMIL_LNC006182)". The record is from RNAcentral. Lineage: Eukaryota; Viridiplantae; Streptophyta; Magnoliopsida; Lamiales; Lamiaceae.